This 1058-nucleotide ribosomal RNA is filed under the name Stenotrophomonas maltophilia. RNAcentral describes it as "bacterial SSU rRNA". It matches the Rfam family "Bacterial small subunit ribosomal RNA", at positions 192 to 1234 of the family's 1533-position model. Lineage: Bacteria; Pseudomonadati; Pseudomonadota; Gammaproteobacteria; Lysobacterales; Lysobacteraceae. The record is from RNAcentral.
GGGGGACCUUCGGGGCCUUGCGCGAUUGAAUGACCCGAUGUCGGAUUAGCUAGUUGGGGGGGCAAGGGCCCACCAAGGCGACGAUCCGUAGCUGGUCUGACUGGAUGAUCAGCCACACUGGAACUGAGACACGGUCCAGACUCCUACGGGAGGCAGCAGUGGGGAAUAUUGGACAAUGGGCGCARGCCUGAUSCAGCCAURCCGCGUGGGUGAAGAAGGCCUUCGGGUUGUAAAGCCCUUUUGUUGGGAAAGAAAUCCAGCUGGCUAAUACCCGGUUGGGAUGACGGUACCCAAAGAAUAAGCACCGGCUAACUUCGUGCCAGCAGCCGCGGUAAUACGAAGGGUGCAAGCGUUACUCGGAAUUACUGGGCGUAAAGCGUGCGUAGGUGGUCGUUUAAGUCCGUUGUGAAAGCCCUGGGCUCAACCUGGGAACUGCAGUGGAUACUGGGCGACUAGAAUGUGGUAGAGGGUAGCGGAAUUCCUGGUGUAGCAGUGAAAUGCGUAGAGAUCAGGAGGAACAUCCAUGGCGAAGGCAGCUACCUGGACCAACAUUGACACUGAGGCACGAAAGCGUGGGGAGCAAACAGGAUUAGAUACCCUGGUAGUCCACGCCCUAAACGAUGCGAACUGGAUGUUGGGUGCAAUUUGGCACGCAGUAUCGAAGCUAACGCGUUAAGUUCGCCGCCUGGGGAGUACGGUCGCAAGACUGAAACUCAAAGGAAUUGACGGGGGCCCGCACAAGCGGUGGAGUAUGUGGUUUAAUUCGAUGCAACGCGAAGAACCUUACCUGGCCUUGACAUGUCGAGAACUUUCCAGAGAUGGAUUGGUGCCUUCGGGAACUCGAACACAGGUGCUGCAUGGCUGUCGUCAGCUUCGUGUCGUGAGAUGUUGGGUUAAGUCCCGCAACGAGCGCAACCCUUGUCCUUAGUUGCCAGCACGUUAUGGUGGGAACUCUAAAGGAGACCGCCCGGUGACAAACCGGGAGGAAGGUGGUGGAUGAACGUUCAAGUCAUCAUUGGCCCCUUACGGCCCAGGUGCUACACACGUACUACAAUGGU